CACGCACCAGUGGGGUCCCUCAGCUUGGCCUGCGCCCUCUCACAAUCCAGGACCCCUCAGGGGAUGUCAGAGAGCUGGUUUAAGCCCAAUCCUGCAGGCCAGGCUGAGGGACCCCACUGGUGCACG
Non-coding RNA from Myotis lucifugus (little brown bat), 126 nucleotides. NCBI's taxonomy places the organism in Eukaryota, Metazoa, Chordata, Mammalia, Chiroptera, Vespertilionidae. The record is from Rfam.